Molecule: ribosomal RNA, 425 nt
Filed under: uncultured bacterium
Lineage: Bacteria
Description: bacterial SSU rRNA
Rfam family: Bacterial small subunit ribosomal RNA
Source: RNAcentral
AGGGAAUCUUCCGCAAUGGACGAAAGUCUGACGGAGCAACGCCGCGUGAGUGAAGAAGGUUUUCGGAUCGUAAAACUCUGUUGUUAGAGAAGAACAUGUCUGAGAGUAACUGUUCAGGCAAUGACGGUAUCUAACCAGAAAGCCACGGCUAACUACGUGCCAGCAGCCGCGGUAAUACGUAGGUGGCAAGCGUUGUCCGGAUUUAUUGGGCGUAAAGCGAGCGCAGGCGGUUUCUUAAGUCUGAUGGGAAAGCCCACGGCUUAACCGUGGAGGGUCAUUGGAAACUGGGAAUCUUGAGUGCAGAAGAGGAGAGUGGAAUUCCAUGUGUAGCGGUGAAAUGCGUAGAUAUAUGGAGGAACACCAGUGGCGAAGGCGACUCUCUGGUCUGUAACUGACGCUGAGGCUCGAAAGCGUGGGGAGCAAAC